This is a long non-coding RNA of Anguilla rostrata (American eel), 927 nucleotides long. RefSeq lists it as uncharacterized. The transcript has 7 exons. The record is from RefSeq and is a predicted model, not a curated record. NCBI's taxonomy places the organism in Eukaryota, Metazoa, Chordata, Actinopteri, Anguilliformes, Anguillidae.
ACAAGUUUAUGGCUCAGUUAAUUUCCAGAUUUGUCCCUGUCUGGUCUAUGAGAUUUGAUGUGUGUGUCUGUCUCUUUGUAUUAUGUCUGUGCGUUAUCGUGUUGUUCUUGUGUGUAUUUACAGGUCUGCCAAUUUGGGUCAGAACCCACUUGUGAAUCUGAUCUGGUGUGUUCAGGUGUCCUGAGACAGGGGGCGCUGUUUCUAAAAUGAGUUCCUCAGAGGAGACCGAGACUGACGAUGGAACCCACGGCCCUGCGAGAAAGAGGGUUCGGGUAGCGAGGGCUGGGUCACCUGUACCCAGCCGUCUGUCUAUGAAGAGUGACCGUUCAAUGACUCAUCCAUACAACUUAAGAGGAGAGGUCACAGGUGAUCAAAGGGUUCGGGUAGCGAGGGCUGGGUCACCUGUACCCAGCUGUCUGUCUAUGAAGAGUGACCUUUCAAUGACUCAUCCAUACAACUUAAGAGGAGUGGUCACAGGUGAUCAAAGGGUUCGGGUAGCGAGGGCUGGGUCACCUGUACCCAGCUGUCUGUCUAUGAAGAGUGACCGUUCAAUGACUCAUCCAUACAAUUUAAGAGGAGUGGUCACAGGUGAUCAAAGGGUUCGGGUAGCGAGGGCUGGGUCACCUGUACCCAGCCGUCUGUCUAUGAAGAGUGACCGUUCAAUGACUCAUCCAUACAACUUAAGAGGAGUGGUCACAGGUGAUCAAAGGGUUCGGGUAGCGAGGGCUGGGUCACCUGUACCCAGCUGUCUGUCUAUGAAGAGUGACCGUUCAAUGACUCAUCCAUACAACUUAAGAGGAGUGGUCACAGGUGAUCAAAGGGUCCGGGUAGAGAGGGCAGGGUCACCUGUACCCAGCUGUCUGUCUAUGAAGAGUGAUCAUUCAAUGCCUCUUCCAUACAACUUCAGAGGAGAGUUCACAGGUGAUC